CCGCGCGCCCCUCCCGCCGCAAAUAAUUAACUGGAACCAAUAAAACGUUGAUGGCGGCGCCUUUGUAGGCACUGCGGCGGCUUUGUCAUGGAAAGUGCGGUCCCCACCCGCCCUGUCCCCGCAGCUGGCCGAGAGUCGCCCGAGCCACCUGGACGGGACCCGGGACCCGCGCCGGCCCAUCUGCCGCGCCGUCAGCUGCGGGGAACAGGGGAGGCGGGCCGCUCCAAGUCUACGAGUCCACAAAACUUCAGGCAAAUGGUGGCACUGGAAACCGCGAGACCAGCGGGCAGGCCUGAUUUUUCAUGGAAUGCUUUCAUCUCGGUCGGCGCUGCAGGCCCUGGAGAAAGGGUCCGAGAGUGCUCAUGGAACAGGAAUCCAGCGCUGCCCUCAGCUGACAAGGACACGGGGAAUACCUCACGGCUGGGAGGGCCUGUGGUUUGCAGCAGACUCUCAUUGGAUGGAACAGGAGCAACAGAAGAGGCCAAGAAAAGACCUGGAGAUGCCCCUGAGACCUGACACAGCAGCACAAGUCACCUCAAAAUGUAGACCUCACAGUUAAGAGAUUGUCCUGAGUCUCAGAAGAGACUUAAGACUUUGGACAGUGUUGAGUCUGCUGAAGACUAUGGAGAUCUUUGAAGUUGGACCAAAUGCAUAUUGCAUCAUAAAAUGGCCUGCUUCAAGUUA
Long non-coding RNA from Mesocricetus auratus (golden hamster), 684 nucleotides. RefSeq lists it as uncharacterized. NCBI's taxonomy places the organism in Eukaryota, Metazoa, Chordata, Mammalia, Rodentia, Cricetidae. The record is from RefSeq and is a predicted model, not a curated record. The transcript has 3 exons.